AUGUCGUCGACGGCAGAUGAGCACACUGCACACCACACCCCAGCCAUUAUACAAGUCCUAAUUAUUUCCAUGGACAGUGUAUGCUGCCAAUUCGCCAGCAAGAAGAGUAUUGGCACAACUAAUUUUGUUGAUUCAGUCAAAUGGAAGCUGGAUCCUGUUGCCUGGUUUAUCUGCUUCCUAACUUCCAUGGACAUAAGUCAGCGGAGCUUUUGCCAUCUGGCUGCCCGGCGAGCAAAACAACCUAGCCAAUGGAGGAGUUUGACCAAGUCUCCCUUCUGUAAAGGACAGUACAAAAAGGGAGCGCCUAGAACUCAUUCGAAUGAGAUAUAA
Molecule: ribosomal RNA, 330 nt
Filed under: Triticum aestivum (bread wheat)
Lineage: Eukaryota; Viridiplantae; Streptophyta; Magnoliopsida; Poales; Poaceae
Description: partial small subunit ribosomal RNA
Source: RNAcentral